RNAcentral lists this ribosomal RNA (429 nucleotides) under uncultured fungus. RNAcentral describes it as "eukaryotic LSU rRNA". The stretch from base 133 to 286 matches the Rfam family "5.8S ribosomal RNA". Lineage: Eukaryota; Fungi. The record is from RNAcentral.
AAGUCGUAACAAGGUUUCCGUAGGUGAACCUGCGGAAGGAUCAUUAAUAAUGUGCCGCAAGGCCUUUAUACACACAACGUGCACGCCUUCGGGCCAAACCAUUAGUAACGAAUGUGAAACAUAAGUUAAUACAACUUUCAACAACGGAUCUCUUGGCUCUCGCAUCGAUGAAGAACGCAGCGAAAUGCGAAAAGUAAUGUGAAUUGCAGAAUUCAGUGAAUCAUCGAAUCUUUGAACGCACCUUGCACCCUUUGGUAUUCCGAAGGGUAUGCCUGUCUGAGUGUUAUUAGUCUUCCACGGCGCGUUUGCACCGUCGGUCUUGGGAUCGCCUUUGGCCUUCCUUAAAUGCAUCAGUGACGGAUCAGUCUUUGUCACUUUAAUAACCUUAGCCUUAACCUCAGAUCAGGUAGGACUACCCGCUGAACUUAA